ACGCUCGACACCUAAGGCAGCAGUGGGGAAUAUUGCACAAUGGGGGAAACCCUGAUGCAGCGACGCCGCGUGAAGGAAGAAGUAUUUCGGUAUGUAAACUUCUAUCAGCAGGGAAGAAGAUGACGGUACCUGACUAAGAAGCCCCGGCUAACUACGUGCCAGCAGCCGCGGUAAUCUGAGCGGGCUGGCAAGGC
Molecule: ribosomal RNA, 194 nt
Filed under: uncultured bacterium
Lineage: Bacteria
Description: partial 16S ribosomal RNA
Rfam family: Bacterial small subunit ribosomal RNA
Source: RNAcentral